UGGGGGGAUAUUGCGGCAAUGGGGGCAACCCUGACGCAGCAACGCCGCGUGAAGGAAGAAGGUUUUCGGAUCGUAAACUUCUUUAAGUGUGGAAGAAGAUGACGGUACACACAGAAUAAGCCACGGCUAACUACGUGCCAGCAGCCGCGGUAAUACGUAGGUGGCGAGCGUUGUCCGGAUUUACUGGGUGUAAAGGGCGUGUAGGCGGGACUACAAGUCAGAUGUGAAAUACCGGGGCUUAACUCCGGGGCUGCAUUUGAAACUGUAGUUCUUGAGUGCCGGAGAGGAAAGCGGAAUUCCUAGUGUAGCGGUGAAAUGCGUAGAUAUUAGGAGGAACACCAGUGGCGAAGGCGGCUUUCUGGACGGUAACUGACGCUGAGGCGCGAAAGUGUGGGGAGCAAACAGGAUUAGAUACCCUGGUAGU
Molecule: ribosomal RNA, 424 nt
Filed under: uncultured Clostridium sp.
Lineage: Bacteria; Bacillati; Bacillota; Clostridia; Eubacteriales; Clostridiaceae
Description: bacterial SSU rRNA
Rfam family: Bacterial small subunit ribosomal RNA
Source: RNAcentral